This 432-nucleotide ribosomal RNA is filed under the name uncultured bacterium. RNAcentral's name for it is "partial 16S ribosomal RNA". It matches the Rfam family "Bacterial small subunit ribosomal RNA", at positions 29 to 507 of the family's 1533-position model. The record is from RNAcentral.
ACGAACGCUGGCGGCAGGCCUAACACAUGCAAGUCGAGCGGACCCUUCGGGGUUAGCGGCGGACGGGUGAGUAACGCGUGGGAAUAUGCCCUUCUCUACGGAAUAGUCCUGGGAAACUGGGGGUAAUACCGUAUACGCCCUUUGGGGGAAAGAUUUAUCGGGGAAGGAUUAGCGCGCGUUGGAUUAGGUAGUUGGUGGGGUAAUGGCCUACCAAGCCGACGAUCCAUAGCUGGUUUGAGAGGAUGAUCAGCCACACUGGGACUGAGACACGGCCCAGACUCCUACGGGAGGCAGCAGUGGGGAAUCUUAGACAAGGGGGGCAACUCUGAUCUAGCCAUGCCGCGUGAGUGAUGAAGGCCUUAGGGUUGUAAAGCUCUUUCAGCUGGGAAGAUAAUGACGGUACCAGCAGAAGAAGCCCCGGCUAACUCCGUG